Oreochromis niloticus (Nile tilapia) is the source of this 2450-nucleotide long non-coding RNA. RefSeq lists it as uncharacterized. The record is from RefSeq and is a predicted model, not a curated record. NCBI's taxonomy places the organism in Eukaryota, Metazoa, Chordata, Actinopteri, Cichliformes, Cichlidae. The transcript is spliced from 2 exons.
GCCGGUUCUCUAAAAAGAGCCGGAAAUCCCAUCACUAGUUGUGUAAUAUGCUGGUAUUGAUAUGAUCAAAAAUGAACUGAGUUGUUUCGUAUUCUAUAGAAAUUGUACAUCUAAUUAAUAACAAGGCUUUCUGCUGAUGUUAUUAAUUAAAAAUGUAUUGUUUUAUUUUUAAGCAACAACUUUUUAGCAUGCAAUCAGUCCAUGCUGUACAGGACAGAUUUGUAAACUGUGCAUACAAAAAUAGACUAUUUUACAAAAUUGCUCAUUCAACAAAUGUAAAUCACAGCAGAUUUUUUUGUUGUAGUGCACUGUCACAACUAGAAAUGUGGGGGGAAGUCCUCAAAAUUGAAGGCAGAACAGGAAAAUACAUGGAAAUAACAAUUUUCCUUUAAGCACAUCAGUAAAGGUCGAUCCAGAUACUUGAUAACUGUUGGUAUAGGUAUGACAUGAAUUUGAAUCUCCAUUAUCACAGGUUUUAAUUGGGAGGCAACAUGCAGAUAUACAGGAGGACUAUAAACAGCAAUUCCUAUUGCAUACAACUGUUUUAGAAAAUACCAACAACACUGUUAAUUUAUCACUUGCUGGUCUAUAGACUUUACAGUGUGGAUGGAUGGAAAAUCCAUCUGGCUCCACUCUGGCUGAAUUGGUGCUACAAACAACUCUGCGCUCGGCUUUCCUGGCUGUGUGUGGAUUUAUACUUACACAUCCAAAUUUUGACCCUAUUUUUCUUCCUUUCAGCUGAUUGGUCAAUUUCAUGUCAAUCACCAAUUAAACAAUCCAAUCAGAGAACAUCUCCAGAAGUUGAUUCUGUUCAUCUGGACGUAGCGUUUUCAGUGGGAGAAAAUGCUGAAAGCGCUACAUCCAGAUGAACAGAAUCAACUUUUGGAGAUUUACUUACCUGGAUGAUUGAGCAUGCAUCAAGACAAUCAGACAACAGAUAGGUUUGGCUGUUGGAGGGCUGCAUUACGGAGCUUCAGGUCCUGGAAGAAUAAAUUCCCUUUUACAUACCAGACCAGCAUUUUUCUUCAUUACCAAGAAGGAAAACAGUUUGUGCGUGUCAGAGUUCAGUGGUUUUUGUGUCACAGGGCUUAUAAUAUGUGUAUAAAUCUGGCCAGGGACCAUCACAUCACACUGCUAUCAUAUUUUUCUGUUGCUAUCAUGUUUCUUUUCUGAGAUGUUGUUACUUUUAUGACAGAUGUAACAAGAAAUCUUCCAGAAAGUUAAAUUUUUUAUUCUAAUCAAAUAUUUGAUUCUGAUAACAGAUAAAGUUUUUUUUUUUACUUUUGUUCUGCUAUGAUAGUUUAUACAAAUUUUGGCCAAUUCCUAUUUAUUUUAACCCUCAGACCCCAAAAGUCACCAGCGACAGGUUUUUCCAAACCUGUCUCGUCAAACCUGAGCUCUACCAGGGGCCCAACACGCCUGGACUUUUAGAAGAAAAGAGAUGUCCAAAAAUAAACCACAGGGUCAAAUACUUGAUUUUGUUCAGUGUUUUAGAGUUAUUAAUUUGAAUUGACUAAUUUAAAUAUUUUAUUCAUGUACAUUUUGAUUGCCUUCAGUAAAAAUGGCAAAAUUUCAAUUUCUUUUUUUUUUUCUGUUAUUAAUCCUUGAUUACAUUCAUAUAGUAUACAGUAGAGGAAAAAACCUACCAGAUGUGUAAAGUAGUAGUAAUACUGAAAAAAGGGACAAAAGCACACACAGUCACAGCUGAUUUUAUGACACUUUUACAGCUAAAACAAUAUAUAAUUCCGGUUAUCCUGCGUAACAUUAUUGGGGAUAAAGGGUUAAGGAACCGCAAUUAAUUUUUUUAGUUUAGCUUGUGUUUACUACCAUAUUUUUUUUUAUCACCACACAGUAAACAUUAAGUAAUAUGUAAAGCGUCCAUUUAUCCUCCAUUCCGGUCCAUUAUCUUAAGCUUAGGCUGCUGCCCCUCAACCCAAUCCGGUACUAAGUAGAGAGGCCCAGACUUCGCUCUCUCCAGGCACUUGGCCCAAGGCAGUCCCAGGCCAGCCGAAAAACAUUGUCCCUCCAGCAUGUCCUGGGUGUUCUGGGUCUCUUCCUGGUGGGACAUGCCCAAAACACCUCACCAGGGAGGCAUCCUAACCAGAUGCCAUUAUCUAAUCUGUCCUUUUUGUAUGUUCCCCUCAGGUUGCCAUGGUAGCAGAUACAGGGGGAACAAGUGUAGACGAUGCCACAAGAAGGAUGAUGAAAUUCCUCAUAUGACCUGAGCUGGCUGUGGAGUACAACAUGCUUGGCCGACAUGGGGAAAAAAAGUUCAGAGAUUUACGUCUUUUUAAUGUUGUGUAUGAGGCACUGAAGAAGAAUUAUUUAACAUCAAAAGUCAACUUGCAAGAAGCAGAGAAGGCUCUCUCCAAGUGGUUCACUGGAGCUAAAGACAGAGGAGGACCGAGGGCUGCAAGGGUACAAAAUAGACUUACGGCUCUGUAAAAAAA